This 440-nucleotide ribosomal RNA is filed under the name uncultured bacterium. RNAcentral's name for it is "partial 16S ribosomal RNA". It matches the Rfam family "Bacterial small subunit ribosomal RNA", at positions 338 to 795 of the family's 1533-position model. The record is from RNAcentral.
CCUACGGGAGGCAGCAGUGGGGAAUCUUGCACAAUGGGGGAAACCCUGAUGCAGCGACGCCGCGUGAGUGAAGAAGUAAUUCGUUAUGUAAAGCUCUAUCAGCAGGGAAGACACUGCCGGUCCCUGCGUACGAAGCCCCGGCUACAUACGUGCCAGCAGCCGCGGUAAUACGUAGGGGGCCCGCGUUAUCCGGCUUUCCUGGGUGGCCCGGGCGCGUCGACGGCAGUGCCCGUCUGGCGUGCCAUGCGGGGGCUCAACCCCCGGACUGCUCUGGCAACUGUACGGCUGGAGUGCAGGAGAGGUAAGUGGAAUUCCUAGUGUAGCGGUGAAAUGCGUAGAUAUUAGGAGGAACACCAGUGGCGAAGGCGGCUUACUGGACUGUAACUGACGUUGAGGCUCGAAAGCGUGGGGAGCAAACAGGAUUAGAGACCCUAGUAGUC